Molecule: small nucleolar RNA, 131 nt
Filed under: Castor canadensis (American beaver)
Lineage: Eukaryota; Metazoa; Chordata; Mammalia; Rodentia; Castoridae
Description: Small nucleolar RNA SNORA51 (ENSCCNG00000012038.1)
Rfam family: Small nucleolar RNA SNORA51
About the family: ACA51 is a member of the H/ACA class of snoRNA that guide the sites of modification of uridines to pseudouridines.
Source: Rfam by way of RNAcentral
GGCCUCCUAGUGCUUACAAUAGGCUGUGUUCUUAUACUGACUGUAUAGAAAGAAAACAGAAAAUAAACCUACCCCAUAUGUACUUCAACCAGGCCCUGGGCCUGGUCUGUAUUAUGAAUAGAGAGACAUGA